RNAcentral lists this long non-coding RNA (290 nucleotides) under Linum usitatissimum (flax). RNAcentral describes it as "long non-coding RNA (LUSI_LNC000861)". Lineage: Eukaryota; Viridiplantae; Streptophyta; Magnoliopsida; Malpighiales; Linaceae. The record is from RNAcentral.
GAUUUCAGUGAGAAGCAGCGACGGAACCAACUUCCCCUCGCGAGCAGCAUUUUCAUUUCCAUGUCUCAUUUCAUUUCAUUGAUUCAAUUCACUUGACGAGAUUAUUGGUUGAGUGAGAGAAUUUCAGUUGGUAUCAGAGCGUGGUCACUUCGAGGAAUCUCACGAUUACCGGAGAAGAAGAUCAGUCACAAGAAAUUGAAGAAUCGAAGGGAUGCUAAAGGGGAAAUCGGCGAUGACUACGUCUCAAUCGUCAGACGGGUACUUCCAUGGUCGUGCACCAUGGUUCGAUG